UACGUAGGAGGCAAGCGUUGUCCGGACUGACUGGGCGUAAAGCGCGCGCAGGCGGUGCGGGGCGUCGGUGCUGAAAUCGGGCCGCUUAACGGCCCGCGGCGUGCCGAUACGCCCGUACUGGAGGGUGGGCGAGGGUGGUGGAAUUGCCGGUGUAGUGGUGAAAUGCGUAGAUAUCCGGAGGAAUACCAAAGGCGAAGGCAGUGUCCUGGCUGGCAACUGACGCUGAGGCGCGAAAGCUAGGGGAGCGAACAGG
RNAcentral lists this ribosomal RNA (253 nucleotides) under uncultured bacterium. RNAcentral describes it as "partial 16S ribosomal RNA". It matches the Rfam family "Bacterial small subunit ribosomal RNA", at positions 524 to 776 of the family's 1533-position model. The record is from RNAcentral.